GACGAACGCUGGCGGCGUGCUUAACACAUGCAAGUCGAACGGAAAGGCCCUGCUUUUGUGGGGUGCUCGAGUGGCGAACGGGUGAGUAACACGUGAGUAACCUGCCCUUGACUUUGGGAUAACUUCAGGAAACUGGGGCUAAUACCGGAUAGGAGCUCCUGCUGCAUGGUGGGGGUUGGAAAGUUUCGGCGGUUGGGGAUGGGCUCGCGGCUUAUCAGCUUGUUGGUGGGGUAGUGGCUUACCAAGGCUUUGACGGGUAGCCGGCCUGAGAGGGUGACCGGCCACAUUGGGACUGGGAUACGGCCCAGACUCCUACGGGAGGCAGCAGUGGGGAAUAGUGCACAAGGGGCGGAAGCCUGAUGCAGCAACGCCGCGUGCGGGAUGACGGCCUUCGGGUUGUAAACCGCUUUCGCCUGUGACGAAGCGUGAGUGACGGUAAUGGGUAAAGAAGCACCGGCUAACUACGUG
Molecule: ribosomal RNA, 468 nt
Filed under: uncultured bacterium
Lineage: Bacteria
Description: partial 16S ribosomal RNA
Rfam family: Bacterial small subunit ribosomal RNA
Source: RNAcentral